Molecule: ribosomal RNA, 3060 nt
Filed under: Candidatus Phytoplasma luffae
Lineage: Bacteria; Bacillati; Mycoplasmatota; Mollicutes; Acholeplasmatales; Acholeplasmataceae
Description: bacterial LSU rRNA
Rfam family: Bacterial large subunit ribosomal RNA
Source: RNAcentral
UUUUGAAAGACUUAGAUUAAAUAAGUUUUUCUUUUUAGGGAAAAAGAGUCAAAAGAGCCUAUAGCUCAGUUGGUUAGAGCACACGCCUGAUAAGCGUGAGGUCGGUGGUUCAAGUCCAUUUAGGCUCACCAAUAUAAUUUUUACUUAAAAAAAGUUCUUUGAAAAGUAGAUAAACGUAACUUUAAAAAUUCAAAUAAAAAAUUGAAGGAAUUAAGGGCAUACAGUGGAUGCCUUGGCACUAAGAGCCGAUGAAGGACGCAAUUAACGGCGAUACGCCAUGGGGAGUUGUAAAUAAAUGUAGAUCCAUGGAUUUCCGAAUGGGGCAACCUACUACAAUAAACUUGUAGUUUUUUGAUUAAUAAAUCAAAAAGGGAACGCAGUGAACUGAAAUAUCUAAGUAACUGUAGGAAAAGAAAGUAAUAACGAUUCUGCUAGUAGUGACGAGCGAACGCGGAACAGCCAGAUACCACUUAACUAGUUAUAAAAUAAAAAAUAACUUGAAGUUUUUGGAAAGAAACACCCAAGAAGGUGAUAGUCCUGUAAAGAAACUUUUUUAUCUAGGGUAUCAAAAAGUACGGCGAGACACGAGAAAUCUUGUCGGAAGAUAGGAGGACCAUCUCCUAAGGCUAAAUACUCCUUAGUGACCGAUAGUGAACUAGUACCGUGAGGGAAAGUGAAAAGAACCCCGGGAGGGAGUGAAUAGAUCCUGAAACUGUAUGUCUACAAUUAGUCAGAAUUCGUUAAUGAGUGAUGGCUUGCCUUUUGCAGAAUGAACCGGCGAGUUAUGAUAUAGAGCAAGGUUAAGUUUUAAGGAACGUAGCCUUAGCGAAAGCGAGUUUUAAAAGAGCGUUUAGUUGUAUGUCAUAGACCCGAAACUGAAGUGAGCUAGCCAUGAGCAGGUUGAAGUGUGGUUAAUCCCACAUGGACCAACCGAACCAGGACACGUUGAAAAGUGUUUGGAUGACUUGUGGCUAGGGGUGAAAUUCCAAUCGAACUCAGAGAUAGCUGGUUCUCCUCGAAAUAGCUUUAGGGCUAGCGUUGAUUUAAUAUUUUCAUGAAGGUAGAGCACUAAAUGAUUGAUGGCUCCACCUCGGGGUACUGAUAUCAAUUAAACUCCGAAUGUUAUGAAAAAAAUAUCAGCAGUCAGACUAUGGGUGAUAAGGUCCAUGGUCAAAAGGGAAAGAGCCCAGACCGUCAGCUAAGGUCCCUAAAUUAAUGUUAAGUGAAAAAGGAAGUGAAGAUGUUUAAACAGCUAGGAAGUUGGCUUAGAAGCAGCCAUCUUUUAAAGAGUGCGUAAUAGCUCACUAGUCUAAUGACUUUGCGCCGAAAAUUUAACGGGACUUAAACAUUAUACCGAAGCUACGGAUAUUAAUUAAUAUAAUUGAAUAUGGUAGAGGAAGCGUUCUGAUGUCGUUGAAGCUAUAGCGGAAGCAGUGGUGGAGAAAUCAGAAGUGAGAAUGCCGGUGUAAGUAACGAAAAGAUAGGUGAGAAUCCUAUCCGUCGAAAACCCAAGGUUUCCAGGGGCAGGUUCGUCCGCCCUGGGUUAGUCAGGUCCUAAGGCGAGGUAGAAAUACGUAGUCGAUGGCAAGCAGGCUAAAAUUCCUGCACUAAAAAAACAACUGAUGGAGGGACAAAGAAGGCUAAGCACGCCCUUUAUUGGAUUAGGGUCAAAGGAUCGAGUUUGAAAAGAUAGGCAAAUCCGUCUUUUUAUUCCAAAAAAUGAGAUUCAAGGGUAACGUGACUGAUGUCAUACUUUCAAGAAAAGCUUCUAGGGUUAAUUGUUUUUUUACCUGUACCGUAAACCGACACAGGUGGGAAGGUAGAGAAUACUAAGACGCGCGAGAAAACUCUUGUUAAGGAACUCGGCAAAAUUGCUCCGUAACUUCGGGAUAAGGAGAGCUUUUAUUUAAAAGUUAAAAGCCACAGAAAAGAAGCCCAAGCGACUGUUUAUCAAAAACAUAGGUCUCUGCUAAACCGUGAGGUGAUGUAUAGGGGCUGAUGCCUGUCCGGUGCUGGAAGAUUAAAAGGAGAUGUUCGGGUUAAACCAAAGCAUUGAAUUGAAGUCCCAGUGAACGACGGCCGUAACUAUAACGGUCCUAAGGUAGCGAAAUUCCUUGUCGGGUAAAUUCCGACCUGCCCGAAAGGCAUAACCGAUUUGGNCGCUGUCUCAACAAGAGUCUCGGUGAAAUCAAACUAUCGGUGAAAAUGCCGAUUACCCGCGACAGGACGAAAAGACCCCAUGGAGCUUUACUGUAACUUAAUAUUGAUUUUGAGAAAUUCAUGUACAGAAUAGGUGGGAGACUGAGAUUUUUAGACGCUAGUUUAAAAGGAGUCGCCUUUUGGGAUACCACUCUUGAAUUUUUUAUACUCUAACCUACGCAAGUGUAUUGCGAGGGACAGUGUUUGGUAGGCAGUUUGACUGGGGCGGUCGCCUCCUAAAGAGUAACGGAGGCGUUCAUAAGGUUCCUUCAAAAUGGUCGGAAAUCAUUUAGAGAGUGUAAAGGCAUAAAGGAGCUUAACUGCGAGACCUACAAGUCGAGCAGAGACGAAAGUCGGACUUAGUGAUCUUGCGAUACCGAAUGGAAGGGUCGUGACUCAACGGAUAAAAGCUACCCUGGGGAUAACAGGCUUAUCGCUUCCGAGCGUUCACAGCGACGAAGCGGUUUGGCACCUCGAUGUCGGCUCAUCGCAUCCUGGAGCUGGAGAAGGUUCCAAGGGUUGGGCUGUUCGCCCAUUAAAGCGGAACGCGAGCUGGGUUCAGAACGUCGUGAGACAGUUCGGUCUCUAUCCGUCGUGGGCGUUGGAAAUUUGAGAGAGCUGUCCCUAGUAUGAGAAGACCGGGAUGGAUAUACCGCUGGUGUUUCAGUUGGUUCGCCAGAGCCAUAGCUGAGUAGCUACGUAUAGAAAGGAUAAACACUGAAAGCAUCUAAGUGUGAAGCCUCCUUUAAGAUGAGAUUUCCCUAUGAGAUCCCUGAAAGACUAUCAGGUUGAUAGGCUAGAAGUGUAAGAAAAGUGAUUUUUUGAGCUUACUAGUACUAAUAGAUCCAUUGACUUUGAUUU